GAACGAGAAAGUCCGCAAGGAUGAGUAAAGUGGCGAACGGGUGAGUAACACGUGACUACCUGCCCUCGAGUGGGGGAUAACCCCGGGAAACCGGGGCUAAUACCGCAUAAUCUCGCAAGAGCAAAUGCGCAAGCAGCUUGAGGAGGGGGUCGCGGCUGAUUAGCUAGUUGGCGGGGUAACGGCCCACCAAGGCGAUGAUCGGUAGCCGGCCUGAGAGGGCGCACGGCCACACUGGAACUGAAACACGGUCCAGACUCCUACGGGAGGCAGCAGUGGGGAAUUUUGCGCAAUGGGGGAAACCCUGACGCAGCAACGCCGCGUGGAGGAUGAAGUCCCUUGGGACGUAAACUCCUUUCGACCGGGACGAUAAUGACGGUACCGGUGGAAGAAGCCCCGGCUAACUUCGUG
RNAcentral lists this ribosomal RNA (408 nucleotides) under uncultured bacterium. Its description in RNAcentral is "bacterial SSU rRNA". It matches the Rfam family "Bacterial small subunit ribosomal RNA", at positions 64 to 507 of the family's 1533-position model. The record is from RNAcentral.